Molecule: ribosomal RNA, 466 nt
Filed under: uncultured bacterium
Lineage: Bacteria
Description: bacterial SSU rRNA
Rfam family: Bacterial small subunit ribosomal RNA
Source: RNAcentral
UCCAGACUCCUACGGGAGGCAGCAGUGAGGAAUAUUGGUCAAUGGGCUUACGCCUGAACCAGCCAAGUCGCGUGAGGGAAGACUGCCCUAUGGGUUGUAAACCUCUUUUGUCAGGGAGCAACGCCGGCUACGUGUAGCCGGACUGAGAGUACCUGAAGAAAAAGCAUCGGCUAACUCCGUGCCGGCAGCCGCGGUAAUACGGAGGAUGCGAGCGUUAUCCGGAUUUAUUGGGUUUAAAGGGUGCGCAGGCGGAUUUUUAAGUCAGCGGUCAAAUCGUGGGGCUCAACCCCAUCCAGCCGUUGAAACUGGGGAUCUAGAGUGUGCGAGAGGUAUGCGGAAUGCGUGGUGUAGCGGUGAAAUGCUUAGAUAUCACGAAGAACUCCGAUUGCGAAGGCAGCCUACUAAACUGCCACUGACAUUGAUGCUCGAAAGUGUGGGUAUCAAACAGGAUUAGAUACCCCGGUAC